This 65-nucleotide transfer RNA is filed under the name Neotoma lepida (desert woodrat). It matches the Rfam family "tRNA". Rfam says of the family: Transfer RNA (tRNA) molecules are approximately 80 nucleotides in length. Lineage: Eukaryota; Metazoa; Chordata; Mammalia; Rodentia; Cricetidae. The record is from Rfam by way of RNAcentral.
GGUGUAGCUCAGUGGCUGAGCAUUUGCCUGCCAUGCACUAGGCCCUGGGCUCAAUCCCUAGCACC